This 253-nucleotide ribosomal RNA is filed under the name uncultured bacterium. RNAcentral's name for it is "partial 16S ribosomal RNA". It matches the Rfam family "Bacterial small subunit ribosomal RNA", at positions 524 to 776 of the family's 1533-position model. The record is from RNAcentral.
GACGUAGGGGACGAGCGUUGUUCGGAAUUACUGGGCGUAAAGGGCGCGUAGGCGGCCUGUUAAGUCGAACGUGAAAUCCCUGGGCUCAACCCAGGAACUGCGUCCGAUACUGGCAGGCUUGAAUCCGGGAGAGGGAUGUGGAAUUCCAGGUGUAGCGGUGAAAUGCGUAGAUAUCUGGAGGAACACCGGUGGCGAAGGCGGCAUCCUGGACCGGUAUUGACGCUGAGGCGCGAAAACCAGGGGAGCAAACGGG